Molecule: ribosomal RNA, 254 nt
Filed under: uncultured bacterium
Lineage: Bacteria
Description: partial 16S ribosomal RNA
Rfam family: Bacterial small subunit ribosomal RNA
Source: RNAcentral
UACGUAGGGUGCAAGCGUUAAUCGGAAUUACUGGGCGUAAAGCGUGCGCAGGCGGUCUUGCAAGACAGAUGUGAAAUCCCCGGGCUUAACCUGGGAACUGCAUUUGUGACUGCAAGGCUGGAGUGCGGCAGAGGGGGAUGGAAUUCCGCGUGUAGCAGUGAAAUGCGUAGAUAUCGGGAGGAACACCAGUGGCGAAGGCGACUACCUGGCCUGUUUCUUGACGCUGAGGCGCGAAAGCUAGGGGAGCAAACGGG